This 31-nucleotide non-coding RNA is filed under the name Mus musculus (house mouse). The record is from RNAcentral. Lineage: Eukaryota; Metazoa; Chordata; Mammalia; Rodentia; Muridae.
UGAACAUGGGUGUAUCUACCAUACACAGGUU